GUCGGGCGGUCUGUCGCUGAGCAUUUUCUUCGGAGAAUGAAAAGAGGAAAGUCCGGGCAACACAGGGCAUCAUAUUUCCUAACGGGAAGCUGUUCGCGAGGGCAGAGUAAGGUAACAGAAAAUAACCGCCCCUAUCGGGGUAAGGGUGAAAAGGUGAGGUAAGAGCUCACCGGUCUUCGUAGCAAUAUGAAGAGCCGUACUACUUAUGAGUUGCAAGACCAUGUAUACCGACGCACGUAGGGCUGCCCGCCCGAUGUCGGGGGGUAGGUCGCUAGAGCCUGAUGGUGACAUCAGGUGUAGAUAAAUGGCAGGCACUCUGCUUUAUGCAGAGUACAGAACCCGGCUUAUAGCCCGACUGU
This 359-nucleotide RNase P RNA is filed under the name Indolivaga capnocytophagoides. RNAcentral describes it as "Bacterial RNase P class A". It matches the Rfam family "Bacterial RNase P class A". Rfam says of the family: Ribonuclease P (RNase P) is a ubiquitous endoribonuclease, found in archaea, bacteria and eukarya as well as chloroplasts and mitochondria. Lineage: Bacteria; Pseudomonadati; Bacteroidota; Bacteroidia; Bacteroidales; Dysgonomonadaceae. The record is from RNAcentral.